CGGCCUGCGCGGAAGAUGUAACGGGGCUAAACCAUGCACCGAAGCUGCGGCAGCGACACUGUGUGUUGUUGGGUAGGGGAGCGUUCUGUAAGCCUGUGAAGGUGUGUCGUGAGGCAUGCUGGAGGUAUCAGAAGUGCGAAUGCUGACAUAAGUAACGAUAAAGCGGGUGAAAAGCCCGCUCGCCGGAAGACCAAGGGUUCCUGUCCAACGUUAAUCGGGGCAGGGUGAGUCGACCCCUAAGGCGAGGCCGAAAGGCGUAGUCGAUGGGAAACGGGUUAAUAUUCCCGUACUUGGUGUUACUGCGAAGGGGGGACGGAGAAGGCUAUGUUGGCCGGGCGACGGUUGUCCCGGUUUAAGCGUGUAGGUGUGUGUUCCAGGUAAAUCCGGUUCACUUUAACACUGAGGCGUGACGACGAGGCACUACGGUGCUGAAGCAACAAAUGCCCUGCUUCCAGGAAAAGCCUCUAAGCAUCAGGUAACAUCAAAUCGUACCCCAAACCGACACAGGUGGUCAGGUAGAGAAUACCAAGGCGCUUGAGAGAACUCGGGUGAAGGAACUAGGCAAAAUGGUGCCGUAACUUCGGGAGAAGGCACGCUGACACGUAGGUGAAGUGAUUUACUCAUGGAGCUGAAGUCAGUCGAAGAUACCAGCUGGCUGCAACUGUUUAUUAAAAACACAGCACUGUGCAAACACGAAAGUGGACGUAUACGGUGUGACGCCUGCCCGGUGCCGGAAGGUUAAUUGAUGGGGUCAGCGCAAGCGAAGCUCCUGAUCGAAGCCCCGGUAAACGGCGGCCGUAACUAUAACGGUCCUAAGGUAGCGAAAUUCCUUGUCGGGUAAGUUCCGACCUGCACGAAUGGCGUAAUGAUGGCCAGGCUGUCUCCACCCGAGACUCAGUGAAAUUGAACUCGCUGUGAAGAUGCAGUGUACCCGCGGCAAGACGGAAAGACCCCGUGAACCUUUACUAUAGCUUGACACUGAACAUUGAGCCUUGAUGUGUAGGAUAGGUGGGAGGCUUUGAAGUGUGGACGCCAGUCUGCAUGGAGCCGACCUUGAAAUACCACCCUUUAAUGUUUGAUGUUCUAACGUGGACCCGUUACCCGGGUUGCGGACAGUGUCUGGUGGGUAGUUUGACUGGGGCGGUCUCCUCC
This 1152-nucleotide ribosomal RNA is filed under the name Salmonella enterica. RNAcentral's name for it is "partial 23S ribosomal RNA". It matches the Rfam family "Bacterial large subunit ribosomal RNA", at positions 1155 to 2290 of the family's 2925-position model. Lineage: Bacteria; Pseudomonadati; Pseudomonadota; Gammaproteobacteria; Enterobacterales; Enterobacteriaceae. The record is from RNAcentral.